This 426-nucleotide ribosomal RNA is filed under the name uncultured Clostridium sp. RNAcentral describes it as "bacterial SSU rRNA". It matches the Rfam family "Bacterial small subunit ribosomal RNA", at positions 63 to 507 of the family's 1533-position model. Lineage: Bacteria; Bacillati; Bacillota; Clostridia; Eubacteriales; Clostridiaceae. The record is from RNAcentral.
CGAGUGGAGGUUACUUCGGUAACGAAAGACUAGCGGCGGACGGGUGGAGUAACGACGUAGGGCGAACCUGCUCAUAGAGGGAAGUAGCUCCAAGGGAGAUUAAUACCGCAUAAGAUUGUAGCUUCGCAUGAAGUAGCAUUAAAGGAGCAAUCCGCUAUGAGAUGGGCCCGCGGCGCAUUAGCUAGUUGGUGAGGUAACGGCUCACCAAGGCGACGAUGCGUAGCCGACCUGAGAGGGUGAUCGGCCACAUUGGGACUGAGACACAGCCCAGACUCCUACGGGAGGCAGCAGUGGGGAAUAUUGCACAAUGGGGGAAACCCUGAUGCAGCAACGCCGCGUGAGUGAUGACGGCCUUCGGGUUGUAAAGCUCUGUCUUCAGGGACGAUAAUGACGGUACCUGAGGAGGAAGCCACGGCUAACUACGUG